AGAGUGAACGCUGGCGGCAGGCCUAACACAUGCAAGUCGAACGGCAGCACAGGGGAGCUUGCUCCCUGGGUGGCGAGUGGCGGACGGGUGAGGAAUACAUCGGAAUCUACCCAGUCGUGGGGGAUAACCUCGGGAAACCGGGACUAAUACCGCAUACGACCCACGGGUGAAAGCGGAGGACCGCAAGGCUUCGCGCGAUUGGAUGAGCCGAUGUCGGAUUAGCUUGUUGGCGGGGUAACGGCCCACCAAGGCGACGAUCCGUAGCUGGUCUGAGAGGAUGAUCAGCCACACUGGAACUGAGACACGGUCCAGACUCCUACGGGAGGCAGCAGUGGGGAAUAUUGGACAAGUGGGCGCAAGCCUGAUCCAGCCAUGCCGCGUGAGUGAAGGAAGGCCUUCGGGUUGUAAAGCUCGUUUGUACCGGAAAGAAAGUCUUUACGGUUAAUACCGGAAGUUAGUGAACGGUACCGGAAG
Molecule: ribosomal RNA, 474 nt
Filed under: uncultured soil bacterium
Lineage: Bacteria
Description: bacterial SSU rRNA
Rfam family: Bacterial small subunit ribosomal RNA
Source: RNAcentral